GUGCAGCAGUCGCGAAAACUUUACAAUGCGGGAAACCGCGAUAAGGGGACACCGAGUGCCAGCAUACUAUGUUGGCUGUCCACAUGUGUAAAUAGCAUGUGUUAGCAAGGGCCGGGCAAGACCGGUGCCAGCCGGCCGCGGUAACCACCGGCGGCCCGAGUGGUAAUCACUAUUAUUGGGGUCUAAAGGGUCCGUAGCCGGUUUUGAUUAGUCUUCCGGGAAAUCUGAUAGCUC
This 234-nucleotide ribosomal RNA is filed under the name uncultured microorganism. Its description in RNAcentral is "partial 16S ribosomal RNA". It matches the Rfam family "Archaeal small subunit ribosomal RNA", at positions 330 to 560 of the family's 1478-position model. The record is from RNAcentral.